Molecule: transfer RNA, 76 nt
Filed under: Camelus bactrianus (Bactrian camel)
Lineage: Eukaryota; Metazoa; Chordata; Mammalia; Artiodactyla; Camelidae
Also listed under: 2 other names
Rfam family: tRNA
About the family: Transfer RNA (tRNA) molecules are approximately 80 nucleotides in length.
Source: Rfam by way of RNAcentral
GAGGGCAUAGCUUAGUGGUAGGUAGAGCACAUGCUUAGCAUGCCCAUGGUCCUGGGUUCAAUCCCCUGUACCUCCA